This 2460-nucleotide long non-coding RNA is filed under the name Olea europaea subsp. europaea. Lineage: Eukaryota; Viridiplantae; Streptophyta; Magnoliopsida; Lamiales; Oleaceae. The record is from RNAcentral.
GAUGAAGUUUGUCCUUAAACAGGAUUAAUAGGUUCAAUCUCAAUUCUUAAUUAAUGUUAUUGGAAAAACAAUGCAAGAUUUCAUUUUUCACUGUAAUUUAUUGCAUAUAAAAGAAUUUAUAGCAACAUAGUGGGGGUAUGGUAACACUCCGUAUUCUAGCCCACAACAAGCCCUUUGGGCAACAAUAUAGCGCCUGACUUUCGGUAUUACCAAACCUCUAUAUGGGAUCAUAUAAUCAGUAAUACCAAAUUUUCUGAUGCAGAGGAUCCUCAAAGAGGCAACUGCAGAGCAUACUUUUGAUAUUACUUAGAUCUUGCUCUUACUUAUUCAUUCUGAAAUUUUCAUAGUUGUCAAAACUAUGGAAGAACAAAGAAAGGAUUUUAGAAGAACAUUGUUAAGAGGAACAAACUUUUUAUUAAGAAGAGUUGAGUUCGAGAUGAUCCUCAAUGAAAGAUAAGAGCUCCUUAUAUAAAGGAGGAGCCUCAUCAUACAACCGACACAAAACUAAUAAUACUAUCAAUGACUCAUUACUUUUAGUAAAAUACUUAUUACAUAAGGACAUGACUCACAACUUAAAAGGACAUGACUCAUCACUUUACUAGCAUGACUCACUACUUUUAGUACAAUAAUUUUACAACCAUCUUUUAAAAAGUAAAGAAUCUACUUUUUAAAAGGGAUUUUAUUGCAAACGACAAAAUGAUUAUUUCACACGAGUUGCUGAGUCAUCAAGGUGUUCCAAGAUUUGCUUCUCGUCCAGGUUCAUUUGAAUCAUCUGAAUUAGAGGAGAGUUCAUGUUGCUUCCACCAAGGCUAAGUUCUAGUAUCAAAUUUUUCUUCAAAAAAUUUUUCUUCCAAUUUUUCAAGAUUGUAUGGGUCUGUUGGAUCAAAAUCAUACGACUGUAUUCCAUAAUCAUAUGGAUCUUGAAAGUUUUGAAAAACACUGUCAUUAUAAUUUAUUUCCGUGUCCAAAUAUCUUGAGUUUUGUUUAUUUGGAUUGCUUGAUCCUGGUUUGUCCACAUCCAUUUUAUUAAUUUUCAUUUUUUCUUGAAAUUCAUUCCAGAGAUUGUUACGCAGUUGUUGUCCUUCUGGUGUGGUUUCUGGAUAUUUAAAUGUUUCUCCAAGGCAUUGAUGUGGCCUUCCCAACUAAAGCUGGUUCCAAUGGGUUUUGUCACUUUCCCAAGUAGCAGAUGGAUAGUGUCCAAAUACUUGUCCAAAAAUUUGGCAUUGUCCUUCUCUGUGUUUCUGAAUGUGUUGCUGAAUCUUAGUUGCAUAGUCUAGAGGUAGAAUUUCCCAUGGAGCAUCAUCUUCUAUGUCGGCCAAAUUUGUGGAGGAAUUGUCUGGUUGAUUUCAGCCAUUUUUCUUUAAAAUUCUCGAAACUCCUUUGGAUACCUUUCCCAAUCUUGAUGGAGAUUGAAAGGUUGGACUGCAUACUCCUUAACAUAAGAGAAGUGUUCAUAAGAACCUGUUUCUAUAAAAUAUCCUUGCCGUUGGAACAUCAGAAUUACAAAAACAUUGUUUUGGGAAGUUCUCAAAUCUUUAAAUUUUAAAGAAAAUGCUUCAAACAUUUUUAUCCAAUGAAAAAUAGGAUAAAACCAUUCGAAAAAUUUCUUUGCCUCAAAAUGUGCUUCUUGAAAUGGAUCAUUUUUGUUAAAACUUCGAAAAGUGAUUUCUUUGAACCAUUCAAGAGAUUCACAAACAUUAAAAGAAACUCCAAUUUGGAAAAGUUCCAAUAAGUACCACAGAAAAUAAAGUAAUUCCUUUAAAAAUUUUGAAACUGUUUGGUGUGGGAUUAUAUGGAAUAAAUUAAAAAAUUGAUAAUCUGGAUGAAAUCUAAGACCGCCAAGAGUUUCAAUUCCUGUUUGCCUGAUAACAAUGGACUGGUAUUUUAACAUGAACUCUUUGGCUCGGGAAUGGAGGGUUUUGUCUCUGAUGAGAGUAUUAAGUUCUGGGGGAAUUUGUUCAUUUUGAGAAAGCAAAUGAAAGGGAAGGUUUAUCAUACAGAUUACAGGGAUAGGUUGGGAGUGAAAAGCUUUUGGUCUGGUGAGUAGGUCUGGAAGGAGGUUGGUUUUUCCCUUUAUAUGUUUGACAUCAAAGUCAAAGUUUGAAAACCAUUCUGCCCAUCUGAGUAGUUGAGAAUUUGAAAUUUGUUUUUGUUUGAAUGAAAGCAUUUUAGGGAAUGCUGAUAUGUCUAUUUCAAUAAGAAAUUUGUGUCCAAUGAGAUGAAAUUGAAAUUUCUCAAUACCACGUUUUACCGCCAAGAUUUCUUUGAAAGUGGAAUGAUAAUGUUUUUCUGCUUCUGAGAAUGCUCCACUUUUGUAUUCACAAAUGUUUCUUUUUCCAUUUUUCUCCUCCAAUAGAACUGCUGCCCAAUAUAGAUCGCUUGCAUCAGUUUGUAAGAUCCUUUCCCUGUUAGUAGGGAUAGAUAGAGCUGGAAGUUCUUGCAACUUUUGUUUGAUUUUUC